AAAUCUGCAUAGCAGCUUUAGUGAUAAUAGGUAAAAGGAGGGAACAAUCCAAAUGUCCAUCAACAGGCAAAACUCAUUUAUAGGGGCACAAAGCUGAUGAGGGUUAUCUGGGGCUGGGAGCAGGGGAGAGCAGCCGACUGAACAGGGGCACGAAAGAAGCUUGACGGGUGAUGGGAAAGUUCUCUAUCAUGAUUGUGAUGGUAGUUAUGCCAGUGUAUACACUUAACCAAUGAUCAUCAGACUGUCCACAUUUUUUGUCUUUUUAGGGCCCCAUACCCGCAGCAUAUGGAAGUUCCCAGACUAGGGGUCAAAUCGGCCUAUGCUACAGUCACAGCAAUGUGGGAUCUGAGCCGCCUCUGCAACCUACACCACACCUCAUGACAACACCGGACCCUUAACCCACUGAGCGAGCCCAGGGAUCAAACCCGAGUCCUCAUGGAUUCUAGUCGGGUUCGUUACUGCUGAGCCACGACGGGAACUCCCAGACUGCCCACAUUUUAUUAGAUGUAAUGUCAAUAAAGCUAUCAGCGCAGAUAUGUUGAGCUUUUUCUGAGACGUAGAGGGUGAACAGGAGUGUAUCAGUGUUGAUUGGCCAAAUAUUUUUAAAAGAUUAAACUAUAAAUAAAGCAAUAAACAGUUUAAUAGCUAGCACUUACAGAGUACUUGCCAUUUGCCAGGUGUUGUCCUAAGAGGUUCCACACAUGGAUUAAACCUCAUGACAACUAUCUAAGAGAGGGACUAUUACCCAUUUUACAGAUGAAGAAACUGAGGCUCUGAAAGGCCUUAAAUCCAUAGGGUAAGUGGCAAAACCAGGACCCAAAGGGUCUGGCUUGAGUGAGCAUCCUCCUAAUUUCUCUACUAUAGUGACUUUCUCAUUAGGACAAGAAACUCCCUUUUCUCCAUAAUUCCACCACCUCUUAAGAAAAAUAUCAUGUUUGCAUGAAAUGCUUUCUUCAGGCUUUGCCAACACGUCUCCAUAUUUUGACCACUGUAAUCACAGCUUAGCUACUGCCCAAGAGAAGCUACUGCAAGCAAAGGGUGAGUCUAGCGAGUAACGAACCCGACUAGUAUCCAUGAGGACGCAGGUUUGAUCCCUGGCCUUGCUCAGUGGGUUAAGGAUCUGGUGUUGCCUUGAGCUGUGGUAUGGGUUGCAGACAUGGCUUGGAUUCUGCAUGGCUGUGGCAGCAGCAGCUGCCACUGGAGCUGCAGCUCUGACUCAACUCCUAGCCUGGGGAACUUUAAGAAGCAAAAAUCAAUAAAUAAAAAUUUUUAAAAAGAUGAGUCUAAUUGCUUUCUGGAAAAAAAAUAUGUGCCUUUAUGCACUCAUGACUGAAUGAUCAUAUUUUAAUGGCUACAUAUAAUUCUUUUAUUUAAAAUACCACAUUUUAUUCAUCUUUAUUAUGGAAUAGGUCAUUACUACAGAAAAUGCUGUCAUGAGCAUCUUCCUGCCAGGCACAGAGCUUUAUUUUUUGAAUCUCUUAUGUAGCCUGUCGCGAGACAUGUUUCUACAAUGUUUUCUUAGCCUCUUUGCUGAAAACUCUUACCUUGUCCUGCUUUACCCCAUCUUCUUGCUUGAAAACAGUCGCAGUGAUGGUGAAUGACUUAAGCUUAAGAACAAAGACCUAGAGGCGUAAGUUAUUCAUAGGGUCAGCUGAACAAAGAGGACUUAAUGUGUUGGUCUAGGCACACCCAGACCUGUGCAGAUUGGCAUGCCGUUUGCACAGCAUAAGUCCUCUUAAGAAUAAAAGAGGAGCCCCAUAGCCCCAAGAGGUUUAUGAGGGGUCCUUAGCUGGAUAUACAUUAGCAAAGAAGAAUGCCGUCUGCAGAAGCACAAUGGUGAUUCUCUAGAGGUUAUGCCUAGAUAGCUGACGCCAAGCUUCCUCAAAUGCUAGUGAUUGUUAAAUGCCUAAAGGUCAGAGUAAAAGCUUAAUCAGCAACUGGCUAAGUGACUUUUAAAAUAACUUACAUAAACAACAGCAACAUCUCAGAUCCACCUCUUAGAGUAUUGACAACAAAAACAAAAACAAAUGGGACCUAAUCAAACUUCAAAGUUUCUGCACAGCAAAGGAAACCCUAAAUAACACAAAAAGACAACCUACAGAAUGGGAGAAAAAUCUUUGCAAGUGAAUCGACUGACAAGGGAUUAAUCUCCAAAAUUUAUAAACAACUUCUGCAGUUCCAUACCAAAAAAACAAACAACCCCAUCCAAAAAUGGGCAGAAGAUCUAAACAGACAAUUCUCCAAAGAAGACAUACAGAUGGCUGAGAAGCACAUGAAAAGAUGUUCAACAUCACUCAUUAUUAGAGAAAUGCAAAUCAAAACCUCUCUGAGGUACCACCUUACACCAGCCAGAAUGGCCAUCAUCCAAAAGUCUACAAACAGUAAGUGCUAGAGAGGGUGUGGAGAAAAAGGAACCCUAGUACACUGUUGGUGGGAUUGUAAACUGGUGCAACCACGGUGGAAAGCAGUAUGGAGAGUCCUCAGAAAACUAAACAUAGAACUACCAUUUGAUCCAGCAAUCCCAUUCCUGGGCAUCUACCCAGAGAAAACCACGACUCGGAAAUCCAACACAUGGACUCCGAUGUUCAUUGCAGCACUAUUUACAAUAGCCAAGACAUGGAAACAACCUAAAUGCCCAUCGACAGAGGAGUGGAUCCAUAAGACGGGGUACAUAUACACAGUGGAAUAUUACUCAGCCGUUAAAAAGAAUGAAACACCAGCAUUUUUAGCAAAAUGGAUGGACCUAGAAACUAUCAUGCUAAGUGAAAUCAGCCAUACAAUAAGACGCCAACAUCAAAUGCUUUCACUGACAUGUGGAAUCUGAAAAAAGGACAGACUGAACUUCUUUGCAGAACAGAUGCUGACUCAGACAUUGCAAAACUUAUGGUUUCCAGAGGAGACAGUUUGGGGGUUGGGGAAUGUGCUUGGGCUUUGGGAUGGAAAUCCUGUGGAAUCAAAUUGUUAUGAUCAUUAUACAACUACAGAUGUGAUAAAUUCAUUUGAGUAAUAAAAUAAUAAUAAUAGUAAUAAUAAUAAAAUAACUUAAAAAAACCUAUAUCCUGCACCUACAACCCCCUUCUCACUUGACGGUAAUCCUAAAAAACACACUAAAAGCAGUGUGGUUUCUUGAGGCGGUGCUCUUGGUCCCUGAGGCCUUGAGUCCCCUGGUUCCCACCUUUACUUAAGAUAAAUGUCUCUGUGUCUUGUUUGAUGUUAACCUUUUCCCUUAAGUUUCACAGCACCCGUUCUUCAGCCCCAUCCUGCUGAGCUGGUCUCAGCAAGUGGCGCCCAACGUGGGGCAGACAGGCAGGCACGAGGAACAAAGGGCCGCUACUACAGCGGAAUUUUUAUUCACUGGAAGUGCUGUGGAGCCCUGAGAAGAAGGGAGGAAUUUUGCGUGGCCACGCUAAAAAAAAUCCUGUGGAUGUGUUCCCUCUCUCGGGUAUUUACGGGGUAACAUGGGAAAUAAGGGAAUUGCGGGAAACUAUAGUCCUUACAUUUAUGUUAGGACAACUCCUUAAAAAAGGGGAUACAAAAACAAAUGAAAGAAAGCUUUUGGAACUUUUUCAAACGAUUGAGAAACAUUGUGAUGGGUUUCUUACAUCAGAAACGUUAGAUUUAAGGAUAUGGGAAACAGUAGGAAAGGAACUUAGGAUAUUGCAUGAUGAGGGCAUUCCAAUUCCUGUGUCCAUUUGGUGUACUUGGAGCUUAAUUAAAUCAGUUUUAGAACCUCUAGAGACCACGGAGGACUUAGGGGAGGAAGAAGAAGGGGAGUUUACACCUUUGUUGGAGGAACCUAAACAUACAGUCCCUGAACAAAAUUAUCAUAGAGAGUAUUUGGCUCCUGAGCCUUUGGCUCCAAGUUUUGAUUUUGACAUUCCUCCAUUGCCUCCUAUUAGGAGCGAGAUGACAAGGACUCAUCAAGCUUCUACUUCCAGGGUUGUAAAGAAAAUGAGCGCUAUCCCUGAACACCACCUAUCAUCCCUUCAACAGGGGAUAUCACAGGCUCAAAGGGAAGGCGAUUUGGAUGCCAUACAUUUAGCCUUUCCAGUAACUGUCAGGGAGACAGUGGCUCCAGGCAUUGAUCCCAUCAACCCUGAUGGAGUUUAUGAGUUCAUUCAUGAGCCCUUUCCUUUUAAAAUUUUUAAAGAAUUAAAACAGGCCGUUCAAAUCUAUGGUGUUAUUUCUCCCUUUACAAAAGGAAUCAUGCAGGGAGUAGCUGAAGGAAAUCGUAUGAUUCCUGCUGAUGGGCAUAACUUAACCCGUGCUGUGCUAUCGCCUAGUGGAUAUUUGUAAUUUAAGUCUUGGUGGCAAGAUCAUGCCCAAAUUACUGCUAAUUGCAAUCAGGCUCAAAAUCUUCCAAUUACAAUGGAAGAACUGUUAGGGAUUGGCCCUUGGAGUAAUCUUCAAGAUCAAAUGAGAAUGAAUGAUUUGGCUAUUGAACAGAUUAGACAAUGUUGCUUAAUGGCAUGGGAUAAAAUUGAAUCUAAGGGUCAAAUAAACACUUCUUUUCAAAAGAUCCCACAAGGGGAGUUCCCGUCGUGGCGCAGUGGUUAACGAAUCCGACUAGGAACCAUGAGGUUGUGGGUUCGGUCCCUGCCCUUGCUCAGUGGGUUAACGAUCCGGCGUUGCCGUGAGCUGUGGUGUAGGUUGCAGAAGCGGCUCGGAUCCUGCGUUGCUGUGCCUCUGGCGUAGGCUGGCUACAGCUCCGAUUCAACCCCUAGCCUGGGAACCUCCAUAUGCCGUGGGAGCGGCCCAAGAAAUAGCAACAACAACAACAACAAAAGACAAAAAGACAAAAGACCCAAAAAAAAAAAAAAAAAAAAAAAAAAAA
RNAcentral lists this long non-coding RNA (4834 nucleotides) under Sus scrofa (pig). Its description in RNAcentral is "lncRNA (ENSSSCG00000058993.1)". Lineage: Eukaryota; Metazoa; Chordata; Mammalia; Artiodactyla; Suidae. The record is from RNAcentral.